AUUAAAGAGCUCGCAAGCCAGCUGCCCCAGCUCUCAGGGUCAGUGUCAACUCCACUCUUACAGUUACGUUCAAAUAUGUGUUUACUGUGGCAGGUGGAUGUAUUUUCAUAUGUUUGACAUGAGGCAUGAUGGGGCUUUCAAAGGGAAAUGUGCAGUUGGAGACCGCCUCUGUCUGUUAAACAGCCCUAAGGCUUAUGAACUUCUGUCUUAGUCAGGCUGCUCUAACAAAAUCCCAUAGACUGGGGAGCUUAAACAGAUGUUUAUUUCUCCUAGAUCUGGAGACUAUAAGUCCAAGGUCAGGGUGCCAGCAUGAUCAGGUUCUGGUGAGGGUCCUCUUCCUGGCUUAUAGCCAAGGCACCUUCUCACCGAGUCCUCACUUGCUGGAGAGAGAGAGAGGAAGCACACACUCUGGUGUCUCUUCUUAUAAGGACGCUAAUCCUAUCAUGGGGGCCCCACCCUCACGAUCCCAUUUAAACCUAAUCAACUCCCCAAGAGCCUUAUCUCCAAUGCCAUCACACUGGGGGUCAGGGAUUCACAUACGCUUUUUGUUGGCUGAGCAUGGUGGCUCCCACUUGUAAUCCCAGCACUUUGCGAGGCUGAGGUGGGAGGAUCAUUUGAGGCCAGGAGUUCAAGACCAGCCUGGGCAACUAAGUGAGACUCUGUCUCUACAAACAAACAAACAAACAAACAAACACCAUAUGCGAAUUUUGGGUGGACACAUUCAGUCCAUAGCAAGCUCUUUUUCAAGUGCAGUGGAAAUCUGCCUUCUACCUUCCACCUCCUUGUUGUGUUUCUUGCUUCUUGAUCCCCAUGGAAUCACCUUCUCUCCCUUCCACAUGACAGCCCUGCAAAUUCCCAAAGUCAGAUACCAUUUCUUCAUAGACAACCAGGGUCUCGAUUGCACCCCAGGGCAGAGUUCUGAAUGUUGGAAGGGGGAACCCCACGUUGCAACAACAGUGGACGGCCUAGGCUCCACGGUCUCCACCAGUCCAUGCUGCAUUCUCUACCUUUAUCCACAUGCAUGGAAGAUUUGUCAAGCUGCACUGCAUUUCUAUAUAUUUUUAAAUAAAAUUGUGACUGAAACUGUC
RNAcentral lists this long non-coding RNA (1088 nucleotides) under Homo sapiens (human). Its description in RNAcentral is "HSALNT0355258". The record is from RNAcentral. Lineage: Eukaryota; Metazoa; Chordata; Mammalia; Primates; Hominidae.